This is a non-coding RNA of Triticum aestivum (bread wheat), 177 nucleotides long. Lineage: Eukaryota; Viridiplantae; Streptophyta; Magnoliopsida; Poales; Poaceae. The record is from Rfam.
AUACUUACCUGAACGGGGUCGACGGCCGAUCAAGAAGGGCCGUGGCCUAGAUCAAUGGCUCACAUUGCACUUGGUGAGUGCGUUGGUCUACCAUCUCCCUAAAUGGGAGAGUGGACGUCGUAAUUUAUGGUAGAGGGGGCGAACGGUAGAGGGGGGUACGCGUUCGUGCGGCCCCUG